GCCUUUCUUUGUAACCCUCGAUAUAUCUAACAUUGAAUCAAUCUGGGGCGAUGGUGAUCUCAUCGAAUCGCUUAGCUCCAUUCCAUUCUCUCAACAUCUCUGAAGCUUCAAGUACUCUGUCAUCCCCAAUAUCAUACACAUAGACGCCAUAAUGUGCAUCUUGAGGUACAGUCUACCUCCUUCAAAACUAUCACAUGUCUCGAAGGGUUCAUAAGGGCAUAUUCCCGAACACCUGGUAGAGGAAGCACAAGCUUUCUCCUGCUCUUUAUGACGACCUCUUUUGAAAUAAAGCAAUCUAGCAUCCAUUGAAAAUCAUCUUCUGUUAUUUCUG
RNAcentral lists this unclassified non-coding RNA (331 nucleotides) under Hevea brasiliensis (rubber tree). Lineage: Eukaryota; Viridiplantae; Streptophyta; Magnoliopsida; Malpighiales; Euphorbiaceae. The record is from RNAcentral.